Molecule: ribosomal RNA, 484 nt
Filed under: uncultured bacterium
Lineage: Bacteria
Description: partial 16S ribosomal RNA
Rfam family: Bacterial small subunit ribosomal RNA
Source: RNAcentral
AUUGAACGCUGGCGGCAGGCCUAACACAUGCAAGUCGAGCGGAUGAAGGGAGCUUGCUCCUGGAUUCAGCGGCGGACGGGUGAGUAAUGCCUAGGAAUCUGCCUGGUAGUGGGGGAUAACGUCCGGAAACGGGCGCUAAUACCGCAUACGUCCUGAGGGAGAAAGUGGGGGAUCUUCGGACCUCACGCUAUCAGAUGAGCCUAGGUCGGAUUAGCUAGUUGGUGGGGUAAAGGCCUACCAAGGCGACGAUCCGUAACUGGUCUGAGAGGAUGAUCAGUCACACUGGAACUGAGACACGGUCCAGACUCCUACGGGAGGCAGCAGUGGGGAGUAUUGGACAAUGGGCGAAAGCCUGAUCCAGCCAUGCCGCGUGUGUGAAGAAGGUCCUCGGAUUGUAAAGCACUUUAAGUUGGGAGGAAGGGCAGUAAGUUAAUACCUUGCUGUUUUGACGUUACCAACAGAAUAAGCACCGGCUAACUUCGUG